RNAcentral lists this RNase P RNA (330 nucleotides) under Clostridia bacterium. RNAcentral's name for it is "RNase P RNA component class A". It matches the Rfam family "Bacterial RNase P class A". Rfam says of the family: Ribonuclease P (RNase P) is a ubiquitous endoribonuclease, found in archaea, bacteria and eukarya as well as chloroplasts and mitochondria. Its best characterised activity is the generation of mature 5'-ends of tRNAs by cleaving the 5'-leader elements of precursor-tRNAs. Cellular RNase Ps are ribonucleoproteins. The record is from RNAcentral. Lineage: Bacteria; Bacillati; Bacillota; Clostridia.
UGAGUAAGUCAGACGAUUGCGCCCGCAAGGGUGAGGAAAGUCCGAGCACCACAGGGAAGAGUGCCGGGUAACACCCGGUGGAGGCGACUCCAAGGACAGUGCAACAGAAAUAAACCGCCGCAUUUGCGGUAAGGAUGGAAAGGCGAGGUAAGAGCUCACCGACGACAUGGCGACUUGUCGGGCCUGUAAACCCCACUCGGUGCAAGAUUGAAUUGGGAGCAAUAAAUAGCGUCCCGCUACGCUCCUUGUAAUCGCAUGAACCGCAUGGCAACAUUCGGUCAAGACAGAUAAUCGUCCUCGACAGAACUCGGCUUACGGCUUACUCAAAAA